AUCCCUUGACAUCCUGCGAACUUUCUAGAGAUAGAUUGGUGCCUUCGGGAACGCAGUGACAGGUGCUGCAUGGCUGUCGUCAGCUCGUGUCGUGAGAUGUUGGGUUAAGUCCCGCAACGAGCGCAACCCUUAUCAUUAGUUGCUAACAUUUAGUUGAGAACUCUAAUGAGACUGCCGGUGAUAAACCGGAGGAAGGCGGGGACGACGUCAAGUCAUCAUGGCCCUUAUGGGAUGGGCUACACACGUGCUACAAUGGGGGGUACAAAGAGCAGCCAACUGGCAACAGUGCGCGAAUCUCAUAAAACCUCUCGUAGUCCGGAUCGGAGUCUGCAACUCGACUCCGUGAAGUCGGAAUCGCUAGUAAUCGUGAAUCAGAAUGUCACGGUGAAUACGUUCCCGGGCCU
RNAcentral lists this ribosomal RNA (404 nucleotides) under uncultured bacterium. RNAcentral's name for it is "bacterial SSU rRNA". It matches the Rfam family "Bacterial small subunit ribosomal RNA", at positions 976 to 1381 of the family's 1533-position model. The record is from RNAcentral.